UGGUGCAAAAGUCAUAGCGGUUUUUGUCAUUACUUUCAAUGGCAAAAACCUCAAUGACUUUAGCACCAACCUCAUA
This 76-nucleotide microRNA precursor is filed under the name Mandrillus leucophaeus (drill). RNAcentral's name for it is "miRNA (ENSMLEG00000011379.1)". Lineage: Eukaryota; Metazoa; Chordata; Mammalia; Primates; Cercopithecidae. The record is from RNAcentral.